This 497-nucleotide ribosomal RNA is filed under the name uncultured bacterium. Its description in RNAcentral is "partial 16S ribosomal RNA". It matches the Rfam family "Bacterial small subunit ribosomal RNA", at positions 28 to 507 of the family's 1533-position model. The record is from RNAcentral.
GAUGAACGCUGGCGGCGUGCCUAAUACAUGCAAGUCGAGCGAACAGACGAGGAGCUUGCUCCUCUGACGUUAGCGGCGGACGGGUGAGUAACACGUGGAUAACCUACCUAUAAGACUGGGAUAACUUCGGGAAACCGGGGCUAAUACCGGAUAAUAUAUUGAACCGCAUGGUUCAAUAGUGAAAGACGGUUUUGCUGUCACUUAUAGAUGGAUCCGCGUCGCAUUAGCUAGUUGGUAAGGUAACGGCUUACCAAGGCAACGAUGCGUAGCCGACCUGAGAGGGUGAUCGGCCACACUGGAACUGAGACACGGUCCAGACUCCUACGGGAGGCAGCAGUAGGGAAUCUUCCGCAAUGGGCGAAAGCCUGACGGAGCAACGCCGCGUGAGUGAUGAAGGUCUUCGGAUCGUAAAACUCUGUUAUUAGGGAAGAACAAAUGUGUAAGUAACUAUGCACGUCUUGACGGUACCUAAUCAGAAAGCCACGGCUAACUACGUG